RNAcentral lists this ribosomal RNA (484 nucleotides) under uncultured bacterium. RNAcentral describes it as "partial 16S ribosomal RNA". It matches the Rfam family "Bacterial small subunit ribosomal RNA", at positions 29 to 507 of the family's 1533-position model. The record is from RNAcentral.
AGUGAACGCUGGCGGCAGGCCUAACACAUGCAAGUCGAGCGGCAGCGGGUCCUUCGGGAUGCCGGCGAGCGGCGGACGGGUGAGGAAUGCGUCGGAAUCUGCCUUUUUGUGGGGGAUAACGUAGGGAAACUUACGCUAAUACCGCAUACGACCUACGGGUGAAAGUGGGGGACCGCAAGGCCUCACGCAGAAAGAUGAGCCGACGUCGGAUUAGCUAGUUGGCGGGGUAAAGGCCCACCAAGGCGACGAUCCGUAGCUGGUCUGAGAGGAUGAUCAGCCACACUGGAACUGAGACGCGGUCCAGACUCCUACGGGAGGCAGCAGUGGGGAAUAUUGGACAAUGGGCGCAAGCCUGAUCCAGCCAUGCCGCGUGUGUGAAGAAGGCCUUCGGGUUGUAAAGCACUUUUGUCCGGAAAGAAAUCCUGUCGGCUAAUACCCGGCGGGGAUGACGGUACCGGAAGAAUAAGCACCGGCUAACUUCGUG